RNAcentral lists this unclassified non-coding RNA (287 nucleotides) under Mycoplasmopsis felis. RNAcentral's name for it is "Mycoplasma felis 16S-23S ribosomal RNA intergenic spacer". The record is from RNAcentral. Lineage: Bacteria; Bacillati; Mycoplasmatota; Mycoplasmoidales; Metamycoplasmataceae.
ACGGAGUACAAGUACAAUUCAUUUUAGUAACAUUACACUUUAUAUGACUAUUUAAAUUUAAUAAAUGUUAGUGCUUYUGAUAAUAGUCCAAAAGAUAUAUCUAGUUUUGAGAGAACUUUCUCUCAUUUGUUCUUUGAAAACUGAAUAGUAAAGAUAAAUUAAUAUAACAACGACAUCAAUAAAUAAAUUAGUCAAUUUGUUUUGUGAUACCGAGUUAAUUAUUAUAUUAAUAUAAUAAUUUAUUAAAAUGUCUUUGAAUACAUCAACAAUAGGUAAAUAUUGAUAAC